Molecule: RNA transcript, 1258 nt
Organism: Solanum tuberosum (potato)
Lineage: Eukaryota; Viridiplantae; Streptophyta; Magnoliopsida; Solanales; Solanaceae
Exons: 7
Source: RefSeq, a predicted model, not a curated record
UUUUCUAAACUUUGGGAGUUUGGUUCCUUGUAUACACUCGGAAUCUAUCUGAGUAUCUGUAGUUGUGAGUUUUCAUCGAAAUAUCGAAGCAAGAAAUUGUGAUUUUCGAUUGUGGAUUAAGGAAUUUUGUUCUCGAAUUGAUAUGAAUUGGAAUAAUUGGAGGGCCGUUCAGGCUGAGGCUCAGGGAGGCGGUGAAGGUAGCGAAACGGCUGCCGGAGCUAUGGAUUCCGGUGAUUUGCGUCAAAGGAUUGACAACAUGAUAAUGGAGACCUUAAAGAGGCAUGUUUCUGUCUCUGGGCAAGAAAGAGUACAGGAGCUUAAGGAAAUUGCUGUGACGUUUGAAGAAAAGAUAUAUUCUACUGCUACAAGUCAGCAUGAUUAUCUUCAAAAGAUAUCUUCAUAGAUGUUGAUCGUGGAGACAAGAAGAUCUCAAAAUCUUAUUCAGCCAAAUCCUGCAAGUAGUGGUCAGAAUGCCCUUGGUCGAGGAUCACACAACAUGCAAUCCCAAGUCAACAGCCAAGCACUUCCUGUACCUAUGGUGGCCAAUCAAACUCAAACACGACAACCACUGUUGCAGCAAAACCUUCAGAACAACAUGGCAUCAACUGGGCUGCAAAAUUCUGCUAGCUUGGCUCCUGCACUUCCUUCUGGACAAAACCUACCUGCUGUGGAUGAAAGCAAGAAUGUUGCAAAUGUGCCUGAAAUUUUCAAUGAAGCUAGUCCCAAUUAAUGAGGCUUCGAUGAUCAACCAGGCACAUUAUGGUUGUUUUGAAAUCUUGGAUACACCUUUGAGCACAUGUUGAGGAAUGAUUGGAGAAAAUCGAGACUCAUUCCAAAAAGGUAGAAACAUUGUUUGCCGGGGGUGGAGCAAGGACUCUCUUCCACAGCAUCUUACAAAUGAGCAAAUUGUACAACUCAAGAUGUUCAAGAUGACAUUGGAACGCAUUCUGUGUUUCUUGGGGGUUAACAAGCAUGAUAUUCAACAUGCUCAGAAGGAGAAAUUGCUUUUGGUUGAGAAGCACAAAGAUUUCUUUCUUAGUCCCUAUCAGCUGCGAAAGCUUACUUCCUCAGUCUUCCAUGCAGCUUCAGCAACCACAAUCUCUUGAUGGUCAAACUAAUCCCUCGAUGCAACCCGUACAGGGCAAUCUUGGAUCCCUACAACAAAAUUCAAACAACCUGCAACAGUCACUCCUUAAGCAGCGCUCACAGCAAAUGUUGCAGAACUAACAAUUAAGACAGUUGCACCACCAUCGACAAA